AACGAACGCUGGCGGCAUGCCUAACACAUGCAAGUCGAACGAGACCUUCGGGUCUAGUGGCGCACGGGUGCGUAACGCGUGGGAACCUGCCCUUAGGUUCGGAAUAACUCCCCGAAAGGGGUGCUAAUACCGGAUAAUGUCUUCGGACCAAAGAUUUAUCGCCUUUGGAUGGGCCCGCGUUGGAUUAGCUAGUUGGUAUGGUAAAAGCCUACCAAGGCGCCGAUCCAUAGCUGGGCUGAGAGGAUGAUCAGCCACACUGGGACUGAGACACGGCCCAGACUCCUACGGGAGGCAGCAGUGGGGAAUAUUGGACAAUGGGCGAAAGCCUGAUCCAGCACUGCCGCGUGAGUGAUGAAGGCCUUAGGGUUGUAAAGCUCUUUUACCCGGGAUGAUAAUGACAGUACCGGGAGAAUAAGCCCCGGCUAACUCCGUG
This 433-nucleotide ribosomal RNA is filed under the name uncultured bacterium. RNAcentral's name for it is "partial 16S ribosomal RNA". It matches the Rfam family "Bacterial small subunit ribosomal RNA", at positions 29 to 507 of the family's 1533-position model. The record is from RNAcentral.